Molecule: long non-coding RNA, 2353 nt
Filed under: Homo sapiens (human)
Lineage: Eukaryota; Metazoa; Chordata; Mammalia; Primates; Hominidae
Description: HSALNT0075954
Source: RNAcentral
CAAGCCUGUAGUUCCAGCUACUCGGGAGGCUGAGGUGAAAGGAUCACUUGAGCCUGGGAGGUCAAGGCUGCAGUAAGCUGAUAUCACGCCAAUGGACUCCAGCCUGGUGGCGCGAUCUCGGCUCACUGCAACCUCCGCCUCCUGGGUUCAAGCGAUUGUCCUGCCUCAGCCUCGAGUAGCUGGGACUACAGGCGCAUGCCACCACACCCGGCUAAUUUUUGUAUUUUUAGUAGAGAUGGGGCUUCACCAUGUUGGCCAGGCUGGUCUUGAACUCCUGACCUCAGGUGAUCCACCUGCCUCGGCCUCCCAAAGUGCUGGGUUAACAGGCAUGAGCCACCGUGCCUGGCCCUCUCCUUAUUUAAUAUAUCAUAUAUAGCAUCUCUGCUUUGUCCUAUUUAUCAAAAAACAUUAUUUUUCCUUUGUUAGGUCCUCGAUCUUAUCAUCUAACCAUUUUUAAACUACAAAUUUGUAUUUUAGAAAUAUUUGGUCUAGCAAAAUGGCUCCGAAGCAAAAAUCAGGACUCUUUUGCUUCAGAAUAACAAAAAUAUACCCUCAAGCUAGUUCAUCAAACAGGCCAGUUAGGCUAUGGAAUGAACAAACAGGAAGGAAAGGGUAUUGCCACCUCAGGGAAUACUGUCACAGAACUCUUCCUCCCUGUACCUAUUUUUCCCUCCUCUCUCUCUGACUUCAUUCUUUCCAACUGCAAACCAGCUUUUCAAUGAAAAAUGAGCUAUCCUGAGAUGCCUAUUUUCCCAGUUUCACCACCAAAAGGAAAAGCCCUCUAUUUUCUAGAUUCAACCUGAGAAAUUCUGGGGAAGGAUUCAAAUGCUUCAGUAAGGUGUCCUGCGGUGAUACCAACUUGAGAUAACUUAAAUUUAUUUUAUGGCUUGAGGUUUCUAACUAUGCCAUGCUAUUCUUAUCCCAAAACUAUGUGAGGAUUGAUGUAUAGUUGUGAAUUGUUGAGUUCUGUGCCUGGCCUACAGAUUAACCAGUUACAAAAAGGUUAGAAAUUCUGAUCAGUCUACUUUUGGUCAGUAUGUCCCUCAACUUACUUAUCACUGUGGCCAAGAAGGUGAGUUUAUGUAAAGAUAUGGCAUCUGCCGUUCAACCACAGUUAAGGGUAAAAGGGACUGAGGUCAGAAAAAAGGAAUUCCUCAGAAGAAGCAGGUAUUCUUGUCCAAGGAACAGGUGCUAGACAGUGGAAACAUAAAAAUCCAACUCAAACCAAAUAAAGUAUAGACUAAAUUGACAUUGAUACAUUCUCACAAACAGAUAUUAUACAGCUCCUAAGAACUUUACAGGAGAAUAUUUAAUAAUAUGAAAAUAUGCUCAUAAUACUUUAAGUGAUAAAAAGCAAUUUUUAAAAUUAUGAAAAUUAUUCCAUUUUAAGGAGGCAAAUAUAUUUCUAAAAAUACAUGUACAUGGGCCAGGCACGGUGGCUCACGUCUGUAAUCCCAGCAAUUUGGGAGGCUGAGGUGGGCGGAUCAUGAGGUUAGGAGAUCGAGACCAUCCUGGCUAACACAGUGAAACCCCCUCUGAUAAAAAUACAAAAAAUUAGCCAGGUGUGGUGCAGGCGCCUAUAAUCCCAGCUACUCAGGAGUCUGAGGCAGGAGAAUGGCAUGAACCUGGGAGGCGGAGCUUGCAGUGAGCUGAGAUUUUGCAACUGCACUCCAGCCUGGGCUACAGAGCAAGACUCCACCUCAAAAAAAAAAAAAAUACAUGUACAUGUAGAAAAAAGACUGGAAGGUGAUACAUGAAAAUGUCAAUACGAUCUCAGUCUUUACCUACUGAACAGAGGAUGUUGUACACUGAUUACAUUUACCCUUUUCUUCCAUAGGAUCAUAGAAGUGUUCCUAUUAGGGAGAAUUCAGGCCGUCUCAAUGUGAGUGCAUAACUAUUUCAAAAUCAUUUCAAAUACCUAUUUUAUUACAUACUCAGUUAACUUGUUUCCCUAUUCAUUUUCAAAUUCCCCAGAUGAACUUUCAUUUUCUGUUUAUCUUCAUUUCCUAAUUUCAUUUUGCAUCUUGUUCCCCUUUGAGGUAUAUAUCAGACUGAUCUAUCCCAUACUUCUAAAAUUCUUCAAAAUUUCUUUUUGCCUUCUAUUUUUAUGGCUUUACAACUUGCUUUGACUCUUGCUCCAAGUCUCCAGUGAUAUUAUCCGAGCCAUAUCAGGUUUUAAGAGUCAAAUCAGUGUUUCUUUUUCUACUUUCAUGACUAGUGUCCUACAAGCACUUGUGGUAGCAUAGUUUGUAAGAGCAAAAAAAUGCAAAAUUUACCUAAUUUUUAUCAACAGUGAAAUAGAGAAUAUGAUACCAUUUUAUUCAUUCUAUUUAGUGGAAUACUGCAUAAUACG